CCAAACUUGGUCAUUUAGAGGAAGUAAAAGUCGUAACAAGGUUUCCGUAGGUGAACCUGCGGAAGGAUCAUUAUCAGUGAGCCCCGGUUCCAACCGGGGACUACACCUCUUACCUCAAAGUGGGUUGCCUGGUGCGGGUUUAAAGCCCCAUUGGCCCCACGUGCCAAACCUAAGUGCAGAAAAGCGGGUACUAGUACUUCCUUUCCCUGCCCACGGGCCUUUGGUGCGCGGACGAUUCGCUCUAACCAGCGCGCCGCUUUGAUGUGUAAUGCGUCCACCCAUUUGUGAAACUUAACUUAUGCUUCGGCAGCACUCUUAGCGGCCUAAGAAACCGCUAGAGGGGUAAGGCUGUCAGAGGCCCAAUUUCAAACUAGUUGAUGAAAUGUCAUGCAGUCUGAUAAACCACUAUUUGAGAAAUCAAAUUGUAAAUUAAAACUUUCAGCAACGGAUCUCUUGGUUCUCGCAUCGAUGAAGAACGCAGC
RNAcentral lists this unclassified non-coding RNA (482 nucleotides) under uncultured fungus. RNAcentral's name for it is "partial contains small subunit ribosomal RNA, internal transcribed spacer 1, and 5.8S ribosomal RNA". The stretch from base 1 to 73 matches the Rfam family "Eukaryotic small subunit ribosomal RNA", at positions 1759 to 1831 of the family's 1831-position model. The record is from RNAcentral. Lineage: Eukaryota; Fungi.